RNAcentral lists this ribosomal RNA (411 nucleotides) under Paracoccaceae bacterium. RNAcentral's name for it is "bacterial SSU rRNA". It matches the Rfam family "Bacterial small subunit ribosomal RNA", at positions 505 to 916 of the family's 1533-position model. Lineage: Bacteria; Pseudomonadati; Pseudomonadota; Alphaproteobacteria; Rhodobacterales; Paracoccaceae. The record is from RNAcentral.
GUGCCAGCAGCCGCGGUAAUACGGAGGGGGUUAGCGUUGUUCGGAAUUACUGGGCGUAAAGCGCACGUAGGCGGACUAGUCAGUCAGAGGUGAAAUCCCAGGGCUCAACCCUGGAACUGCCUUUGAUACUGCUAGUCUUGAGUUCUAGAGAGGUAAGUGGAAUUCCGAGUGUAGAGGUGAAAUUCGUAGAUAUUCGGAGGAACACCAGUGGCGAAGGCGGCUUACUGGCUCGAUACUGACGCUGAGGUGCGAAAGUGUGGGGAGCAAACAGGAUUAGAUACCCUGGUAGUCCACACCGUAAACGAUGAAUGCCAGACGUCGGGUAGCAUGCUAUUCGGUGUCACACCUAACGGAUUAAGCAUUCCGCCUGGGGAGUACGGUCGCAAGAUUAAAACUCAAAGGAAUUGACGG